Molecule: ribosomal RNA, 253 nt
Filed under: uncultured bacterium
Lineage: Bacteria
Description: partial 16S ribosomal RNA
Rfam family: Bacterial small subunit ribosomal RNA
Source: RNAcentral
UACGGAGGGUGCAAGCGUUAUCCGGAUUCACUGGGUUUAAAGGGUGCGUAGGCGGGUUGGUAAGUCCGUGGUGAAAUCCCCAAGCUUAACUUGGGAACUGCCGUGGAUACUAUCAAUCUUGAAUAUCGUGGAGGUAAGCGGAAUAUGUCAUGUAGCGGUGAAAUGCUUAGAUAUGACAUAGAACACCAAUUGCGAAGGCAGCUGGCUACACAAAUAUUGACACUGAGGCACGAAAGCGUGGGGAUCAAACAGG